GACGAACGCUGGCGGCGUGCUUAACACAUGCAAGUCGAACGAUGAAGCCCUUCGGGGUGGAUUAGUGGCGAACGGGUGAGUAACACGUGGGCAAUCUGCCCUUCACUCUGGGACAAGCCCUGGAAACGGGGUCUAAUACCGGAUAAUACUCCUGCCUGCAUGGGCGGGGUUGAAAGCUCCGGCGGUGAAGGAUGAGCCCGCGGCCUAUCAGCUUGUUGGUGGGGUAAUGGCCCACCAAGGCGA
Molecule: ribosomal RNA, 243 nt
Filed under: uncultured Actinomycetes bacterium
Lineage: Bacteria; Bacillati; Actinomycetota; Actinomycetes
Description: uncultured actinobacterium partial 16S ribosomal RNA
Rfam family: Bacterial small subunit ribosomal RNA
Source: RNAcentral